GUCCAGACUCCUACGGGAGGCAGCAGUGGGGAAUAUUGCACAAUGGGGGAAACCCUGAUGCAGCGACGCCGCGUGAGUGAAGAAGUAUUUCGGUAUGUAAAGCUCUAUCAGCAGGGAAGAAAAUGACGGUACCUGACUAAGAAGCCCCGGCUAACUACGUGCCAGCAGCCGCGGUAAUACGUAGGGGGCAAGCGUUAUCCGGAUUUACUGGGUGUAAAGGGAGCGUAGACGGCAUGGCAAGUCAGAUGUGAAAGCCCGGGGCUCAACCCCGGGACUGCAUUUGAAACUGUCAGGCUGGAGUGCAGGGGAGGUAAGUGGAAUUCCUAGUGUAGCGGUGAAAUGCGUAGAUAUUAGGAGGAACACCAGUGGCGAAGGCGGCUUACUGGACUGUAACUGACGUUGAGGCUCGAAAGCGUGGGGAGCAAACAGGAUUAGGUACCCCAGUACGC
RNAcentral lists this ribosomal RNA (449 nucleotides) under uncultured bacterium. RNAcentral describes it as "bacterial SSU rRNA". It matches the Rfam family "Bacterial small subunit ribosomal RNA", at positions 329 to 794 of the family's 1533-position model. The record is from RNAcentral.